GUCCCUUUGGGGCAUCCAAUAAAAUUGGAACAAUACAGGGAAGAUUAGCAAUGCCCCGCACAAAGAUAUACGUACUGUAUAGAUGUUUCGGACAAUUAA
This is a non-coding RNA of Triticum aestivum (bread wheat), 99 nucleotides long. The record is from Rfam. Lineage: Eukaryota; Viridiplantae; Streptophyta; Magnoliopsida; Poales; Poaceae.